Molecule: long non-coding RNA, 978 nt
Filed under: Helianthus annuus (common sunflower)
Lineage: Eukaryota; Viridiplantae; Streptophyta; Magnoliopsida; Asterales; Asteraceae
Description: hypothetical non coding rna
Source: RNAcentral
ACGUGUCUUGCUUUGAUGCUUUCUCUCUCUCCUAGAUUUUGAAAAUCAAGUCUGAUUUCAAAGUCUUCAAAUGUCCUUUUUCUUUUGAUUCACAACAUCUGGACACAUAUAGUUAGAGAGAGGGAGAGAGAGCCAGAAGAAAGAUGGCAGUGGCCGACAUGGUGGUGCACGGCGACGACCAUGGCGGCAUGAGGGUGUCUGGCAGUAGCAUCUGCGGCUUGAGGGUGUUUGGCAGUCGCAUGCCGCCGGUUGCUCCUUGGCUGUGGGGUGUGCUCCGGUGACCAAGUUCGCCGCCGGCAGUGAUGCCGCCGGUUGCUCCUCCCCCUUCUGCCUCCGUCUCUGGUGAAAACUUGAUUUAGAGAAGGUCAAUCUGAAUGUUGAUUUUUGUGGUUGAAAACUUUGAUUUAGAGAAACUGUGGUGAGUAGUGGGUUACAGAUCUGUAUCGACGGUAUAGAGCGUAUGUUGGCUUCGGUGAUGGUGGUUAAUAUGUGUGACAAUGACGGUGGUUAUGGCGCGUGACGGUGAUGAUGUUGUCAUGGUGUAACGGUGGUGAUGGUCACUGUGGUGAGGGAGCCGCUUCCGCCACCGCCAAACCCUCUUGUUAUCCUUGGCGGAAUGGCUCCGAUAGCUCUCCGGUUGUCUUAUCCUUGGUCUCCGGUUAGUCGAGACCUAUUAUUUUACAGGGAGAGGCAAGGUUUGCAGACACAAGAGAAAAAAACUGAUUGCAGAGAUCAAGAAGAGCGCCAAACAAGGCCAAAUGGGAGCUGUUAAGGUGAUGGCAAAAGAUCUCAUUAGAACACGACAUCAGAUCGAGAAGUUUUACAAGCUUAAGUUCCAACUGCAGGGUGUUUCAUACAUCCUUGAUAUAUAGGUUAGGCGAUGUGACUAUGGAAGAAUGAUGUAAUCAAAUACUUGUGGCCUCCCGGCCGCAACGCGGCGGGGCUUUAAAUCUAGUUACAAUAAUAAACCAAAUGUUA